UAAAUAUUACAACAUUAAAUUUGUCAAAAAAAAAUUUGUUUAUUUAUGUAUUAUCAACUAAAAUAUAAAGGGCCUCGAGCUCAUGCGAUUACAUAGAUUAAAAAGACUAUAAUUUUUAUAAUCUUUGUGCGUUCAGAAAUGUUAUCUACGAUUUCUGAGGAAUUUACCAGAGAACGAUUUUAGAACCCCUUAUUUAAAUGAAUCAACAAGUUACGAAAGGUAUUUUUUUAGUUUUAUUAGAAAUAGAUUGUUUUGGCGUUCACAAAGUAAUAGUUAAGGAUACUAAUAAUCAUUAAUUGUUAUAAUAAGUUUUAUAAUAAACAAUAAUACCGAAUUGUAGCCAUGUUUGUA
Non-coding RNA from Cinara cedri, 351 nucleotides. The record is from the annotation of a GenBank genome assembly. NCBI's taxonomy places the organism in Eukaryota, Metazoa, Arthropoda, Insecta, Hemiptera, Aphididae.